UUGGAGGGCAAGUCUGGUGCCAGCAGCCGCGGUAAUUCCAGCUCCAAUAGCGUAUAUUAAAGUUGUUGCAGUUAAAAAGCUCGUAGUUGAAUUUCGGGAUCAUCAGGUUGGUCGUGCCACUGGUAUGUACUUGCCUCGGUGUCCCUCCCUCUUGAAGAACCGUAAUGCCCUUAAUUUGGUGUUGCGGCCUCCAGGACUGUUACUUUGAAAAAAUUAGAGUGGUUAAAGCAGGCAAACGCUUGAAUACCUUAGCAUGGAAUAAUGGAAUAGGAUUUUUGAUCUUUUUUUGUUGGCUUCUAGGAUCCACGUAAUGAUUAAUAGGGAUAGUUGGGGGCAUUAGUAUUCAAUUGUCAAAGGGGAAAUUCUUGGAUUUUUUGAAAACUGAUUACUGCAAAAGCUUUUGCCAAGGAGGUUUUCUUUAAUCAAAAACAAAAGUUAGGGGAUCAAAAACAAUCAAAUACCGCCUAAUUCUUAACCAUAAACUAUGCUGACUAGGGAUCGGAUGAUGUUAAUUUUUUAAUGACUCAUUCGGCGCCUUACGGGAAAC
This 547-nucleotide ribosomal RNA is filed under the name uncultured Glomus. Its description in RNAcentral is "partial small subunit ribosomal RNA". It matches the Rfam family "Eukaryotic small subunit ribosomal RNA", at positions 548 to 1098 of the family's 1831-position model. Lineage: Eukaryota; Fungi; Glomeromycota; Glomeromycetes; Glomerales; Glomeraceae. The record is from RNAcentral.